CCUACGGGUGGCUGCAGUCGAGAAUUUUUCACAAUGGGCGAAAGCCUGAUGGAGCGACGCCGCGUGGGGGAUGAAUGGCUUCGGCCCGUAAACCCCUGUCAUUUGCGACCAAUGUAGGCAGUUUAACUGAUUGCCUAUUGCUUGUAGCGGAAGAGGAAGGGACGGCUAACUCUGUGCCAGCAGCCGCGGUAAUACAGAGGUCCCAAGCGUUGUUCGGAUUUACUGGGCGUAAAGCGUGCGUAGGCUGUGGUGCAAGUUAAAGGUGAAAUAUUAAA
Molecule: ribosomal RNA, 275 nt
Filed under: uncultured bacterium
Lineage: Bacteria
Description: partial 16S ribosomal RNA
Rfam family: Bacterial small subunit ribosomal RNA
Source: RNAcentral